RNAcentral lists this ribosomal RNA (495 nucleotides) under uncultured bacterium. RNAcentral describes it as "partial 16S ribosomal RNA". It matches the Rfam family "Bacterial small subunit ribosomal RNA", at positions 29 to 506 of the family's 1533-position model. The record is from RNAcentral.
AUGAACGCUGGCGGCGUGCCUAAUACAUGCAAGUCGAGCGAACAGACGAGGAGCUUGCUCCUCUGACGUUAGCGGCGGACGGGUGAGUAACACGUGGAUAACCUACCUAUAAGACUGGGAUAACUUCGGGAAACCGGAGCUAAUACCGGAUAAUAUAUUUAACCGCAUGGUUCAAUAGUGAAAGACGGUUUUGCUGUCACUUAUAGAUGGAUCCGCGCCGCAUUAGCUAGUUGGUAAGGUAACGGCUUACCAAGGCAACGAUGCGUAGCCGACCUGAGAGGGUGAUCGGCCACACUGGAACUGAGACACGGUCCAGACUCCUACGGGAGGCAGCAGUAGGGAAUCUUCCGCAAUGGGCGAAAGCCUGACGGAGCAACGCCGCGUGAGUGAUGAAGGUCUUCGGAUCGUAAAACUCUGUUAUUAGGGAAGAACAAAUGUGUAAGUAACUAUGCACGUCUUGACGGUACCUAAUCAGAAAGCCACGGCUAACUACGU